This 468-nucleotide ribosomal RNA is filed under the name uncultured bacterium. RNAcentral's name for it is "partial 16S ribosomal RNA". It matches the Rfam family "Bacterial small subunit ribosomal RNA", at positions 28 to 507 of the family's 1533-position model. The record is from RNAcentral.
GACGAACGCUGGCGGCGUGCUUAACACAUGCAAGUCGAACGGAAAGGCCCUGCUUUUGUGGGGUGCUCGAGUGGCGAACGGGUGAGUAACACGUGAGUAACCUGCCCUUGACUUUGGGAUAACUUCAGGAAACUGGGGCUAAUACCGGAUAGGAGCUCCUGCUGCAUGGUGGGGGUUGGAAAGUUUCGGCGGUUGGGGAUGGACUCGCGGCUUAUCAGCUUGUUGGUGGGGUAGUGGCUUACCAAGGCUUUGACGGGUAGCCGACCUGAGAGGGUGACCGGCCACAUUGGGACUGAGAUACGGCCCAGACUCCUACGGGAGGCAGCAGUGGGGAAUAUUGCACAAUGGGCGGAAGCCUGAUGCAGCAACGCCGCGUGCGGGAUGACGGCCUUCGGGUUGUAAACCGCUUCCGCCUGUGACGAAGCGUGAGUGACGGUAAUGGGUAAAGAAGCACCGGCUAACUACGUG